This 468-nucleotide ribosomal RNA is filed under the name uncultured bacterium. Its description in RNAcentral is "partial 16S ribosomal RNA". It matches the Rfam family "Bacterial small subunit ribosomal RNA", at positions 28 to 507 of the family's 1533-position model. The record is from RNAcentral.
GACGAACGCUGGCGGCGUGCUUAACACAUGCAAGUCGAACGGAAAGGCCCUGCUUUUGUGGGGUGCUCGAGUGGCGAACGGGGGAGUAACACGUGAGUAACCUGCCCUUGACUGUGGGAUAACUUCAGGAAACUGGGGCUAAUACCGGAUAGGAGCUCCUGCUGCAUGGGGGGGGUUGGAAAGUUUCGGCGGUGGGGGAUGGACUCGCGGCUUAUCAGCUUGUUGGUGGGGUAGUGGCUUACCAAGGCUUUGACGGGUAGCCGGCCUGAGAGGGUGACCGGCCACCUUGGGACUGAGAGACGGCCCAGACUCCUACGGGAGGCAGCAGUGGGGAAUAUUGCACAAUGGGCGGAAGCCUGAUGCAGCAACGCCGCGUGCGGGAUGACGGCCUUCGGGUUGUAAACCGCUUUCGCCUGUGACGAAGCGUGAGUGACGGUAAUGGGUAAAGAAGCACCGGCUAACUACGUG